Strongylocentrotus purpuratus (purple sea urchin) is the source of this 181-nucleotide long non-coding RNA. RefSeq lists it as uncharacterized. The record is from RefSeq and is a predicted model, not a curated record. NCBI's taxonomy places the organism in Eukaryota, Metazoa, Echinodermata, Echinoidea, Camarodonta, Strongylocentrotidae. The transcript has 2 exons.
UUGAAGGUGAUUUUCAUCAAUUUUGGGAAGGUUGUUUUUAUUUUACUGGUUAAACAAUCAACAUACUGCAGGAUAAGCAGUCCAGAAUGAAUUAUAGCCACAACGUUCAGAACCGAUACGAAAUUCGCGGCCAAUUCAUAAAAGAAAACAACUUUUGAAAUUAAACCCUGAGCCUUGACCU